CGGAGCAUGCGGAUUAAUUCGAUGCAACGCGAAGAACCUUACCAAGGCUUGAUAUAUAGAGGAAACGUGCAGAAAUGUACGCCCCAGCAAUGGUCUCUAUACAGGUGGUGCAUGGUUGUCGUCAGCUCGUGUCGUGAGAUGUUGGGUUAAGUCCCGCAACGAGCGCAACCCUCGUCCUAUGUUGCCAGCACGUAAUGGUGGGAACUCAUGGGAGACUGCCGGGGUCAACUCGGAGGAAGGUGGGGAUGACGUCAAAUCAUCAUGCCCCUUAUGUCUUGGGCUUCACGCAUGCUACAAUGGCCGGUACAGAGGGCUGCAAUACCGUAAGGUGGAGCGAAUCCCAAAAAGCCGGUCUCAGUUCGGAUUGAGGUCUGCAACUCGACCUCAUGAAGUCGGAGUCGCUAGUAAUCGCAGAUCAGCAACGCUGCGGUGAAUACGUUCCCGGG
RNAcentral lists this ribosomal RNA (446 nucleotides) under uncultured Actinomycetes bacterium. Its description in RNAcentral is "bacterial SSU rRNA". It matches the Rfam family "Bacterial small subunit ribosomal RNA", at positions 933 to 1378 of the family's 1533-position model. Lineage: Bacteria; Bacillati; Actinomycetota; Actinomycetes. The record is from RNAcentral.